GAUCCUUGCUCAAGAUGAACGCUGGCGGCGUGCUUUACACAUGCAAGUCGAACGGAAAGGCCUUGUGCUGCCAAGUACUCGAGUGGCGAACGGGUGAGUAACACGUGGGUGAUUUGCCUGCACUGUGGGAUAAACCUGGGAAACUGGGUCUUAUUCCAUAUAAGACCGCCCUUUGGAUGGUGUGGUGGAAAGCUUUUGCCGUGUGGGAUGAAGCCUGCCGCCUAUCAGCUUGUUGGUGGGGUAAUGGCCUACCAAGGCGGCGACGGGUAUCCGGCCUGAGAGGGUGUACGGACACAUUGGGACUGAGAUACGGCCCAGACUCCUACGGGAGGCAGCAGUGGGGAAUAUUGCAC
Molecule: ribosomal RNA, 353 nt
Filed under: uncultured bacterium
Lineage: Bacteria
Description: bacterial SSU rRNA
Rfam family: Bacterial small subunit ribosomal RNA
Source: RNAcentral